RNAcentral lists this long non-coding RNA (735 nucleotides) under Medicago truncatula (barrel medic). RNAcentral's name for it is "lncRNA gene36821". The record is from RNAcentral. Lineage: Eukaryota; Viridiplantae; Streptophyta; Magnoliopsida; Fabales; Fabaceae.
UGGCUAAUUAAGCUCAUAUGAUAAUAUCCAUAUAACUUUUUUUUUGAGCAAAUUAUCCAUAUAACUUAUUGAUUCAAUCUUUGAAGUGUUACAUUUUGCUCAAUUAAUAAAAAACAAAGAGUCGCAUAUUUAAAUUGAUAAAUUACCUUUUCAAUAGAUUUUUGUUGUAUAAUGUCUUUCUUUAACAGUAAAACGUUGUUAGUUUUUUAGGGCAUAGCAGAAUGUUGUAUGUAUAUACAUUUAGGAUUUAGGAAAAAGAAAACACAUCUAAAUCCUAAAUGUUAAUCUUUUUUUAAUCCGUAAAAAUAUUGUUAUUUAGAAGUUUUUUUGUUGUGUAAAGUAGGUAUUCUGCAUGCGCGCAACUCCAAAGACUAAUCUCUCAAGUCUUAUGGAACUCAAAUGGGUGGCAAACUCUCCUUAAGAAUUUUAAUGCUGCUACAUGUCGAAGCAUGAAUUCAAACACAGAACCCUGAUCAAACUAGAAGAAUCAUGUGUCAUCUCAUUUAAACGUUGUCGAGUUGUUAUUUAGAAGUUUGAGAUAUCCCCUAUCUAGCUUCUCACAUCAUCCAUUAUAAAAUAUCCACUUUUAAGUACUUAAGCGAAUCUCACAUUUACAAAUUAUUCAUUUAUAACUUUUUAAUAAUCGUAUAUACUAAACAUUCAAUCUAACACCAAUGAAAAAAGUUUUAAAUGAUUUCGACCAAUAUUUUUUUUAUCUUAUAUCAAUAAUUCUAU